UACAGAGGUCCCAAGCGUUGUUCGGAUUUACUGGGCGUAAAGGGUGCGUAGGCGGUCGGGUAAGUCUGGUGUGAAAUCUCCAAGCUUAACUUGGAAACUGCAUUGGAUACUAUCCGGCUUGAGGUUGGGAGGGGGGACUGGAAUUCUCGGUGUAGCAGUGAAAUGCGUAGAUAUCGAGAGGAACACCAGUGGCGAAGGCGAGUCCCUGGACCAAUCCUGACGCUGAGGCACGAAAGCCAGGGGAGCAAACGGG
This 253-nucleotide ribosomal RNA is filed under the name uncultured bacterium. RNAcentral's name for it is "partial 16S ribosomal RNA". It matches the Rfam family "Bacterial small subunit ribosomal RNA", at positions 524 to 776 of the family's 1533-position model. The record is from RNAcentral.